AGGAUGAACGCUGGCGGCGUGCCUAACACAUGCAAGUCGAGCGGAGUUUAACUGGAAGCACUUGUGCGACCGGAUAAACUUAGCGGCGGACGGGUGAGUAACACGUGAGCAACCUACCUAUCGCAGGGGAACAACAUUGGGAAACCAGUGCUAAUACCGCAUAACAUCUUUUGGGGGCAUCCCCGGAAGAUCAAAGGAUUUCGAUCCGGCGACAGAUGGGCUCGCGUCCGAUUAGCUAGUUGGUAAGGUAAAAGCUUACCAAGGCAACGAUCGGUAGCCGAACUGAGAGGUUGAUCGGCCACAUUGGGACUGAGACACGGCCCAGACUCCUACGGGAGGCAGCAGUGGGGAAUAUUGGGCAAUGGGGGAAACCCUGACCCAGCAACGCCGCGUGAAGGAAGAAGGCCUUCGGGUUGUAAACUUCUUUGAUCAGGGACGAAACAAAUGACGGUACCUGAAGAACAAGUCACGGCUAACUACGUGCCAGCAGCCGCGGU
This 497-nucleotide ribosomal RNA is filed under the name uncultured bacterium. RNAcentral's name for it is "bacterial SSU rRNA". It matches the Rfam family "Bacterial small subunit ribosomal RNA", at positions 26 to 521 of the family's 1533-position model. The record is from RNAcentral.